AUGACUUUGAUCCCCAUCUUCAUCUGCACACUGGCCCUCUGGACUCAAGGUUCUAGAGGUCAGGUGACUGUGACUCAGACUCCUGCAGUGAAAUCUGCUCUUCCAGGAGACACAGUCACCAUCAGCUGUAGAAUCAGUCCUGCACCCACAGACUGUUCCCCACCUUGUGUAUCCUGGUACCUGCAGAAAAUUGGAGAAACUCAUAAACCCCUGAUCCACUGGACUAACAGGAGAGCAUCAGGUAUUCCAGAUCAUUUCAGUGGUAGUGGAUCUGGAUCUGACUUCACUUUGACCAUCAGUGGAGUCCAGACUGAAGAUACAGGAGAUUACUACUGUCAGAGUGCACAUGAGAUCACUCUGUGGGGGACUUUGGGUGGCGGAACAAAACUAUCAGUUGGACGUGACGCCCCGCCCACCCUCACGGUCCUGCCCCCCUCCACUGUACAGCUGCAGCAGGAGAAGGUCACACUCGUGUGUCUGGCCAACAAGGGCUUCCCCUCAGACUGGAAGCUGAGCUGGAAGGUAGCUGGUAGCAGCUGGAGCUCGGGGGUGAGCCAGAGCUCCGGGCUACUGCAGAAGGACGGCCUCUACAGCUGGAGCAGCACCCUGACCCUCCAGAAGGAGGAGUGGCUGAAGAAGACAGUGACCUGUGAGGCCACCAAGGACUCCCAGUCUCCUGUCACACAGACACUGAGUAGAGAGCAGUGUGCUGAGGCGUGA
Molecule: non-coding RNA, 720 nt
Organism: Electrophorus electricus (electric eel)
Lineage: Eukaryota; Metazoa; Chordata; Actinopteri; Gymnotiformes; Gymnotidae
Source: the annotation of a RefSeq genome assembly